GGCCGGGUCCCAUGCAAGCCGAGCCCGUGAACCUGGUCAGACGGGGAACCGAGCAGCCAUAAGCGGACGCUUAGCUGUGCGUGGGGCAACCCGGCCGAU
Molecule: non-coding RNA, 99 nt
Organism: Planctomycetes bacterium RBG_13_60_9
Lineage: Bacteria; Pseudomonadati; Planctomycetota
Source: Rfam